UAGCUUAAAGAAAAUAUUUUAAGUAAUACCUGCCCGGUGGAUUUCUUAACGGCCGCAGUACUUUGACUGUGCUAAGGUAGCAUAAUAAAUUGGCUUUUAAUUGAAGUCGGGAAUGAAAGGGACUUUGGAAGAAAGCUGUCUCAAGAAUACUUUAUUUUAAUUUAUUUAAUGAGUGAAAAUCCUCAUAUUUUUUACAUUAGACGAGAAGACCCUUAGAGUUAUAAUUAUAAUGAAUUUAUUUCAUAUAUCAUUUUUGUUGGGGCAACAAGGACUGGAAUUAAACCGUCUUAAAUAUAUUUUACAUGACCAAUGUUUUUAGAAAGAAAUAAAUUACCUUAGGGAUAACAGCAUAAUUAAUUUUUAGAUUGUGACCUCGAUGUUGGAUUAAGGACUUUAUUUACUAGCCGUAAAUAAAGAUAGUUCUGUUCGAACUGUAAUACCUU
Molecule: ribosomal RNA, 443 nt
Filed under: Vertigo moulinsiana
Lineage: Eukaryota; Metazoa; Mollusca; Gastropoda; Stylommatophora; Vertiginidae
Description: partial 16S ribosomal RNA
Rfam family: Archaeal large subunit ribosomal RNA
Source: RNAcentral